RNAcentral lists this ribosomal RNA (253 nucleotides) under uncultured bacterium. Its description in RNAcentral is "partial 16S ribosomal RNA". It matches the Rfam family "Bacterial small subunit ribosomal RNA", at positions 524 to 776 of the family's 1533-position model. The record is from RNAcentral.
UACGUAGGGGGCAAGCGUUGUCCGGAUUUAUUGGGCGUAAAGAGCGUGUAGGCGGCCAUACAGGUCAGCUGUGAAAACUCGAGGCUCAACCUCGAGACGUCGGUUGAAACCGUUUGGCUAGAGUCCGGAAGAGGAGAGUGGAAUUCCUGGUGUAGCGGUGAAAUGCGCAGAUAUCAGGAAGAACACCAAUGGCGAAAGCAGCUUUCUGGGACGGUACUGACGCUGAGACGCGAAAGCGUGGGGAGCGAACAGG